CUUUCAAAAGUCUCAUUUUCUAAAGAUCGACAGGCGAAUCUUUGGGGGUAUGAACGAGCAACGGGCGGGAUUUCAUCUCACCUGCGAUUGUUCUCCGGCGGCAGAACGCUCCAGUCCUGCUCGUAAUACGGAUACAUGGUGGCUUCUCACUGGAGCACGGAACUAAACCGACUGGAAUGGGAGCGGGAGUGCGUUCGGGUAUGGGAAUGGCAGCGAUAAGCGGCGAGUGCUCCACAUAGGCCUUAUCUAAUGUACACUAAUAGUUAACAGCACUUAUCUAUCGGACUGAUAAUGGUAAUAAUAAUGCUCCCCGCGCCGUGAGAACACCGCAAUCCCGGCUGUUUGCUGGUUGUUUCUUUCGGCGGUUCGGUGUCGGUCGGUUCGGAUAAGCGGAGCCCCAUUGACAACCGCCAUAUCGAGGUGUACUACGAGUGCAGUGCUGUUAGAUAAAUCCGCGACUCUCCCGAUUUUGGUGGACCUCGAAUCGCCCACAUUUUGUGGCUAACGAUUAACCAUGACAGCUGCGAAUGGAUUCAGUUUUAUUACAUUUUUGGCAUCCAAAUACCCAAUAUUGCAAUAACUAUAAACGAGAUUUUAAUAAAUAGAUCAGAUGUAAUCGAAUGUUA
Molecule: long non-coding RNA, 626 nt
Organism: Drosophila sechellia
Lineage: Eukaryota; Metazoa; Arthropoda; Insecta; Diptera; Drosophilidae
Exons: 2
Source: RefSeq, a predicted model, not a curated record